RNAcentral lists this small RNA (24 nucleotides) under Arabidopsis thaliana (thale cress). RNAcentral describes it as "ATSL130610". Lineage: Eukaryota; Viridiplantae; Streptophyta; Magnoliopsida; Brassicales; Brassicaceae. The record is from RNAcentral.
AGAAGAGGAAGAAGAAACUGUAAA